RNAcentral lists this long non-coding RNA (764 nucleotides) under Rattus norvegicus (Norway rat). RNAcentral describes it as "long non-coding RNA NONRATT013813". The record is from RNAcentral. Lineage: Eukaryota; Metazoa; Chordata; Mammalia; Rodentia; Muridae.
GGCAUUUCUAGAUGAUCUCAUGAAACAUUCAGAUUUUCCUAUCCAAAUACAAACAAAAAUUCCCUACCUCAUUUAGUGUGUAUCUAAAUAUUACCUUAGUUUUAAUGUUUCCUCUUUAACUAUUGUUACCUGGUUACUCAGGGUCUCAGCAGUAGAAAGCAUUCGGGCCAUGCUAAUGGGCUCUGUGGACACUGCCUUCUCUCUGCUCUGUGAAUUCACUCCAUGUGCAAAGAAGACCUAUGGACUGGGUGGCUCGGCAGCUGGGAAUGGCCAUCAUGUCAUUUGAAUUCUUCCAUCCAUUGUUGAUGCCGACUAGCAGCUAAGAUGGCUGAACCAAGCGUCCACAGUAGCUUCUGUUAUGCAGCAAUAGUUCCACAGAGCAUUGUGCUGGUUACAAGUGAGUCUCAGGUCCACUCGGAUUCAAGAGGAGAAGUCAUCAACAGCAACUCCCGUUUUCCACAGCGUGUAACAGAGCCUGCAACACUUUGAGAACACACAAAUAUUGAAGAAAUGUGGAUUAUUUUAAACCAGUUUCAGGAAAAAAAAAAGAAGAAAGAAAGAAAGAGAGAAAGAAAGAAAGAAAGAGAGAAAGAAAGAAAGAAAGAAAGAAAGAAAGAAAGAAAGAAAGAAAGAAAAGGAAAAGAAACACACAAGCAAACAAACAACAACAUCAACAACAAAACAAAUAUAAAGCAUAGGAAACAUCUCCUCAUGGAAGGUGGAGUAUGUCACAGCGUGUCCCACAGCAUACUCACCCCUUUGUC